UGGAAUUCCUGCAAAUUUGAUAUAUUUGACUUCUCUGAAGACGAAUGAUUUUUGAAAAGGAAAAAUAAUCAUUUUAAUGUGAGGCAAAACAUGUAUGGUGCUCGGUAAAGAUGACACGCCGACUCACUUCUUCUUUUUUUGUUUUUUUUUUGUUUGAGAAAGUUUGUUUUCAUAUUAAACCAAUGUCAGUGACGUCAUUCUACGCCACUACCACAGGUGAAGGUGCUGCCCACCCAUGAUGCCAGCAAGGUGCGUGCAAGUGGAUCCGGCCUUAAAACCACUGGAGUGCCCACCUCUCUGCCAGUGAAGUUCAACAUUGAUGCCAAAGAUGCAGGACCCAGACGGGAAGCCCAAGAAGCAAA
Long non-coding RNA from Oreochromis aureus, 362 nucleotides. The record is from Ensembl. Lineage: Eukaryota; Metazoa; Chordata; Actinopteri; Cichliformes; Cichlidae.